Molecule: long non-coding RNA, 2536 nt
Organism: Megalobrama amblycephala (Wuchang bream)
Lineage: Eukaryota; Metazoa; Chordata; Actinopteri; Cypriniformes; Xenocyprididae
Exons: 5
Source: RefSeq, a predicted model, not a curated record
AGGGAAAGCUAGACUAGUUGAAGAACAAGGCCUCGGUGAUUUUGAUCAAAUUUUACCCUGUUAUUUGCGAAUUUUAAUACAUUGUCUUUCGUAAUUACGUAUUUAGUUGCGAUAGCACCAAUAAGACUCUUCAACCUUUUAAAAAGUCUGUGAAAGGUUACAAGUGCCAGUAUUGGUCGUAGUGGUGGACACCUCCUUGGUCCUGUGUUGUGUUUACAAUUUAACACAGCAGCAGCUCUAUUGGACUGGGGUCUUGUUACAGCAGAUGUGCUUUUGUGAGUCCAUAGUUCCCCUGAGGACCACCACCCUUCCCUGAUAGCAGCCUGCCUUCCCCCACUUCAACGUUCCCAUUCAUCUCUAAAUAAGAGACUUUUUGCAGAUUCGGACAGAAAGAGAAAGCUGACAAAGGAAACACUGUGAAUUGAAUUGAAUAGGAAAGGAAGCAAGGGGAAUCCAGAGCCUGCUGCAGGUCUGUGACAGCUAUGCCCUAAAAAGGAAAUCCAGUCUGUGGGCAUGAUGGGAGGGGCGGAGAGAGCCAGGAGCUCAGGCCAGUACUCAGAUGAUCUUCCCAUCAACCAAAUAUUGUUUCUCUGAUGGGAUAUGAUGAUAACACAAAUGGACUGGAGCCAGCUUCAAGGACAUGCAUUCCAGCUCCUCAGAUCCUGUUCCUCAUCUCUCCGACACACUCUGCACAUGAAGAUCAAUGGAGCCAAGGGCAGCGUGUAAGGGGAUCCAGGGCCAAGGAGGAGAGCAGAGUUGUGUUUUAUUUGUUCUGUGGCGCAGCCCCGUUUGACUUGAUCCUCUCCCGUUUCAUUCAUCCGGAAAAUCUGCUGUGUGUGAGUGAAAACUGGGGGAGUGGGUCUCACUUGAUACUCGGAUGUAAUGAGGAACUGCCAGUCAUGUUAAAGGGAUAGUCCACCCAGAAAUGAACAUUCUGUCAUCAUUUACUCACCCUUUCUACAUAAACAUAAAUUUUGAGAAAAGUUUUGGUGCUAUUUUCGUCCAUACAGUGUUAGUCAGUGAUCACUAAACCUGAUAGUUUACCAGCAUUCUUCAACAUAUCUUUAUUUUAUGUUCUACAGAAGAAAGAAAGUCUUAAAUGACAUGAGGGUGAGUAAAUGAUGAUACAAUUUCAUUUUUGGGGUGAAUUAUCAAGCAUUAAGCAUUAGAAAAUUAUAGUUAAAUAUAUUAAAACUAGGAAAAGAUGAGAAAAAAAAUGUUUCAGUGAUAGGAAAGUGUCAUUUUACAGCUCUAAAUGUUGAAUAUUGCUAUCUUUUUGAUGUGUGUAAUUUUUCUGAUCUCAUUUUCUUUAUCAUAGUCUUAAACUUUAUUUGUAAUUCUUCAUUUUUAAUUCACCAAACUGGGGGAGUGUCCAGGAAAACUUUCCAUUUUGUGAUGCUAGUUUUGCAGAAAUUACGCAGAAAUCUCACACUAUAGACAACAGAGAAUGGAGAAUGCAUCAAGAAAAUUAGGUUGGGGUCUCUGAGUGCAUUGUAGUGCAUUACUUGCUUAGACAUGACAGAGAUAUGACUUUAAUUCAGUCUUUUGUAAUUAACCUCCGGGCUUUCCUGUGCGCUCCUAAUUACUCUGCAUAAACAAUGUGGGAUCAGUGCUAAUCUGAAAGAGCCCAUUCAGAGGCUUUCAUGUGGGGCAUCUAAUGGGCUCUGCAGGCGGGGGAGUGCAGGCUGAUCCGGAGGUGGUUGGGGUGGGGGGGAUUCACAGGAGGGAACCGUUGACAGAUCCCAACACUAAAUCCACAUACCAGGGCUGAGGGCAUAAACUCAACCUGGUUUCUUCCACUCUGAAGCCAUAACCACCAAACCCACACCACAAAUGCAGCUACUGCCAGUCUCGAUGCAUGCUUACCGCUUAAGAAAAUUGAUCAUGUGACUCUUUGUACAGACGGUCAGAUGUUCUUCUUUCAUUGAAGCUCAAGAUGCUCUUUCUAAUUGAUCCCAAAUCAUGCUGGAGAACAUCAUCAUCAUCAGGUUUUACACAUGUAGAUCUAGUGCUGCUGUCAUUAAAGCAAAAGAGGGUCGAACCAAAUAUGGAGACAUACUUUUUACUCAAAUUAUGUUAAUAUAAUUUGAAAUAAAAAAGUUGAAUUAAAUUAUAAAGAUACAAUAUGGAAGCAUUUUUGAAUUGUGUGAUGAAAUGAAAUACUGUAGACAUGUCAUUGUUUUCCUAUUCUCUUUUCUAUGGUAAUGAUUUCACUAUCAACAGUUUUCUCAACACCUUAUCUCUCACACCAUGGGCUCUAUUUUAUCUUUCUAUUGGGAGUAUGCAAUCAGCAGCAAGUCUAAAAGACAGCUGUGCUGAUAAGAAAACCAUUCAUUAAAUCGGAAGAUAUUUUGGUUUACUUUUUUCACAUAGGCACAACAUCCUGGAUUAGGAAUGUAAUGGCUGAAACAAUAUCUUUCCUGAAUUAACUUAUAAAAAUGGUUAUAGUAUAAUAUGUGAGAAUGUACUAAAAUGACUCUUUUUAUUAAAUUUUCAUAUAAGACCACAAAAUAACAAUAAAUAUACUUCAGUUUAA